UAGUCAGGAAGCUGGAUGAAAACUGACUUUUAAUCAGUGGGUCACAGGUUCGAAUCCUGU
RNAcentral lists this transfer RNA (60 nucleotides) under Roseovarius aestuarii. It matches the Rfam family "tRNA", at positions 8 to 63 of the family's 71-position model. From Rfam's summary of the family: Transfer RNA (tRNA) molecules are approximately 80 nucleotides in length. Their secondary structure includes four short double-helical elements and three loops (D, anti-codon, and T loops). Further hydrogen bonds mediate the characteristic L-shaped molecular structure. tRNAs have two regions of fundamental functional importance: the anti-codon, which is responsible for specific mRNA codon recognition, and the 3' end, to which the tRNAs corresponding amino acid is attached (by aminoacyl-tRNA synthetases). tRNAs cope with the degeneracy of the genetic code in two manners: having more than one tRNA (with a specific anti-codon) for a particular amino acid; and 'wobble' base-pairing, i.e. permitting non-standard base-pairing at the 3rd anti-codon position. The record is from Rfam by way of RNAcentral. Lineage: Bacteria; Pseudomonadati; Pseudomonadota; Alphaproteobacteria; Rhodobacterales; Roseobacteraceae.